CCUACGGGAGGCUGCAGUGGGGAAUAUUGGACAAUGGGGGGAACCCUGAUCCAGCCAUGCCGCGUGUGUGAAGAAGGCCCUCGGGUUGUAAAGCACUUUCAGUGAGGAAGAACGCCUGGUGGUUAAUACCCAUCAGGAAAGACAUCACUCACGGAAGAAGCACCGGCUAACUCCGUGCCAGCAGCCGCGGUAAUACGGAGGGUGCGAGCGUUAAUCGGAAUUACUGGGCGUAAAGCGCGCGUAGGUGGCUUGAUAAGCCGGUUGUGAAAGCCCCGGGCUCAACCUGGGAACGGCAUCCGGAACUGUCAAGCUAGAGUGCAGGAGAGGAAGGUAGAAUUCCCGGUGUAGCGGUGAAAUGCGUAGAGAUCGGGAGGAAUACCAGUGGCGAAGGCGGCCUUCUGGACUGACACUGACACUGAGGUGCGAAAGCGUGGGUAGCAAACAGGAUUAGAUACCCUAGUAGUC
RNAcentral lists this ribosomal RNA (465 nucleotides) under Vreelandella stevensii. RNAcentral describes it as "partial 16S ribosomal RNA". It matches the Rfam family "Bacterial small subunit ribosomal RNA", at positions 338 to 795 of the family's 1533-position model. Lineage: Bacteria; Pseudomonadati; Pseudomonadota; Gammaproteobacteria; Oceanospirillales; Halomonadaceae. The record is from RNAcentral.